UGAUUCGGUGACAUUUCUUUGUCACCACUAAAUGAAUCGGUGGAUUGAGAUGAUGCUCAAUUUUAGCAGGAUUCGCUUCAAGUCUUCGCGUGUGUUUGUCCCAGCUUCUCUUUCAUGAUGUCUUGUAUUGCUUUAAGGUCAUCUAGGGUCUUGUACAUAUCCUCUUGACCUUUGUUCCAUGUGUUUGAUUACCCAAGUCCAUUACUUUGCAUCCAUGUGACUAAGCCUUGUAUACUCCCAAACGUUGUUAGUCCCAAAGGUUAGUGUUGACAUACAAUCAUCAAUAUCACUAAUGGUCUAGCUAGGUCCAUUUUCUUUACAAUCACCCCCUUUUGAUGAUUGAUGCCAACAUAACCAAAGCAAGAGAUAAUAUUAAAAUUAAAUACAACUACUUGCUUGGAUGCAAUGCAAGAGCAAGAAUCAUAUGCUAAUUGAAAUACGCUAUGAAUAUUGAAUUGAGGUAGAUCAUACCUUGCUCUUACCAAUUUGAAAACUAACUUGAAAUCCCCCUCAUGUGGUCAUAAGGCUCCCCCUUAUUCCAAUGCCACAUUUCUCCCUUUCUUGGACCAAAUUCUUACAAUCUCCCCCAAGCUUGAAAUGUACAAUCUCCC
RNAcentral lists this long non-coding RNA (611 nucleotides) under Setaria viridis. RNAcentral's name for it is "long non-coding RNA (SVIR_LNC008816)". The record is from RNAcentral. Lineage: Eukaryota; Viridiplantae; Streptophyta; Magnoliopsida; Poales; Poaceae.